CUACGGGUUGCAGCAGUGAGGAAUAUUGCGCAAUGGGGGAAACCCUGACGCAGCGACGCCGCGUGGAUGAUGAAGGCCUUCGGGUCGUAAAAUCCUGUCAGAAGGAAAGAAGUGUAUGGUAGCUAAUAUCUGCCAUACUUGACGGUACCUUCAAAGGAAGCACCGGCUAACUCCGUGCCAGCAGCCGCGGUAAUACGGAGGGUGCAAGCGUUGUUCGGAAUUACUGGGCGUAAAGCACGCGUAGGCGGUUUUAUAAGUCAGAUGUGAAAGUCCACGGCUCAACCAUGGAAGUGCAUUUGAAACUGUAAGACCUGAGUAUUGGAGGGGGUAGUGGAAUUCCCGGUGUAGAGGUGAAAUUCGUAGAUAUCGGGAGGAAUACCGGUGGCGAAGGCGACUAUCUGGCCAAAUACUGACGCUGAGGUGCGAAAGCGUGGGGAGCAAACAGGAUUAGAUACCCUCGUAGUC
RNAcentral lists this ribosomal RNA (465 nucleotides) under uncultured bacterium. RNAcentral describes it as "partial 16S ribosomal RNA". It matches the Rfam family "Bacterial small subunit ribosomal RNA", at positions 339 to 795 of the family's 1533-position model. The record is from RNAcentral.